Acanthosepion pharaonis is the source of this 101-nucleotide non-coding RNA. NCBI's taxonomy places the organism in Eukaryota, Metazoa, Mollusca, Cephalopoda, Sepiida, Sepiidae. The record is from the annotation of a GenBank genome assembly.
AGCAUGAGACACCACUUCUCGUACGAUCACCGAAGUUAAGCAACGUCAAGAUUGAUUAGUCCCUAGAAGGGUGACUGCUUGGGAAUAUCAGGUGCUGUAAG